CCCUCGGCUUCGCGUGCCGCGUUCCCGCUAACCCCGUCAGAUCCGGAAGGAAGCAGCGGUCCGCGAUGGGCGCGGGCCGUGGAUCACCGGGGGGUU
This 96-nucleotide signal recognition particle RNA is filed under the name Candidatus Adiutrix sp. RNAcentral's name for it is "signal recognition particle sRNA small type". It matches the Rfam family "Bacterial small signal recognition particle RNA". From Rfam's summary of the family: The signal recognition particle (SRP) is a universally conserved ribonucleoprotein involved in the co-translational targeting of proteins to membranes. Archaeal SRP consists of a 7S RNA and homologues of the eukaryotic SRP19 and SRP54 proteins. Lineage: Bacteria; Pseudomonadati; Thermodesulfobacteriota; Desulfarculia; Candidatus Adiutricales; Candidatus Adiutricaceae. The record is from RNAcentral.